GAUGAACGCUGGCGGCGUGCCUAAUACAUGCAAGUCGAGCGAACGGACGAGAAGCUUGCUUUUCUGAUGUUAGCGGCGGACGGGUGAGUAACACGUGGAUAACCUACCUAUAAGACUGGGAUAACUUCGGGAAACCGGAGCUAAUACCGGAUAAUAUUUUGAACCGCAUGGUUCAAAAGUGAAAGACGGUCUUGCUGUCACUUAUAGAUGGAUCCGCGCUGCAUUAGCUAGUUGGUAAGGUAACGGCUUACCAAGGCAACGAUGCAUAGCCGACCUGAGAGGGUGCUCGGCCCCACUGGAACUGAGACACGGUCCUGACUCCUACGGGAGGCAGCAGUAGGGAAUCUUCCGCAAUGGGCGAAAGCCUGCCGGAGCACCCCCGCGUGAGUGAUGAAGGUCUUCGGAUCGUAAAACUCUGUUAUUAGGGAAGAACAUAUGUGUAAGUAACUGUGCACAUCUUGACGGUACCUAAUCGGAAAGCCACGGCUAACUACGUG
Molecule: ribosomal RNA, 497 nt
Filed under: uncultured bacterium
Lineage: Bacteria
Description: partial 16S ribosomal RNA
Rfam family: Bacterial small subunit ribosomal RNA
Source: RNAcentral